GACGAACGCUGGCGGCGUGCUUAACACAUGCAAGUCGAACGGAAAGGCCCUGCUUUUGUGGGGUGCUCGAGUGGCGAACGGGUGAGUAACACGUGAGUAACCUGCCCUUGACUUUGGGAUAACUUCAGGAAACUGGGGCUAAUACCGGAUAGGAGCUCCUGCUGCAUGGUGGGGGUUGGAAAGUUUCGGCGGUUGGGGAUGGACUCGCGGCUUAUCAGCUUGUUGGUGGGGUAGUGGCUUACCAAGGCUUGGACGGGUAGCCGGCCUGAGAGGGUGACCGGCCACAUUGGGACUGAGAUACGGCCCAGACUCCUACGGGAGGCAGCAGUGGGGAAUAGUGCACAAUGGGCGGAAGCCUGAUGCAGCAACGCCGCGUGCGGGAUGACGUCCUUCGGGUAGUAAACCGCUUUCGCCUGUGACGAAGCGUGAGUGACGGUAAUGGGUAAAGAAGCACCGGCUAACUACGUG
RNAcentral lists this ribosomal RNA (468 nucleotides) under uncultured bacterium. RNAcentral describes it as "partial 16S ribosomal RNA". It matches the Rfam family "Bacterial small subunit ribosomal RNA", at positions 28 to 507 of the family's 1533-position model. The record is from RNAcentral.